AUAUACCAAUUUGAUUAUUGUUAUAACAUUAUUAUUGUGAACCAUUCACAUAUUGUUUAAGUCUUGUGGAGCAUACUUGUGGUGAUAUACAACUUCAAAAAAUCUUGAAGAAAGGAUCAAGGAGUUCACAAGGACAUAAGGACAAUCAUCAAAGGAGGUUCAACAAUUUCCACAUAUGGAUUCAGGUUAGCCUCCGCUCAUGUAGUUUAAUUCAGAAUUAUUCAAUA
Molecule: long non-coding RNA, 227 nt
Filed under: Nicotiana benthamiana
Lineage: Eukaryota; Viridiplantae; Streptophyta; Magnoliopsida; Solanales; Solanaceae
Description: long non-coding RNA (NBEN_LNC033996)
Source: RNAcentral